UACACACCGCCCGUCACACCAUGGGAGUGGGUUGCUCCAGAAGCCGCUAGUCUAACCUUCGGGGGACGGCGACCACGGAGUGAUUCAUGACUGGGGUG
This 98-nucleotide ribosomal RNA is filed under the name uncultured bacterium. RNAcentral's name for it is "partial 16S ribosomal RNA". It matches the Rfam family "Bacterial small subunit ribosomal RNA", at positions 1384 to 1482 of the family's 1533-position model. The record is from RNAcentral.